Molecule: ribosomal RNA, 242 nt
Filed under: uncultured Moryella sp.
Lineage: Bacteria; Bacillati; Bacillota; Clostridia; Lachnospirales; Lachnospiraceae
Description: partial 16S ribosomal RNA
Rfam family: Bacterial small subunit ribosomal RNA
Source: RNAcentral
GGCGGACGGGUGAGUAACGCGUGGGGAACCUGCCUCAUACAGGGGGAUAACAGUUGGAAACGACUGUUAAUACCGCAUAAGACCACAGAGUCGCAUGACUCAGGGGUAAAAACUCCGGUGGUAUGAGAUGGACCCGCGUUCGAUUAGCCAGUUGGCGGGGUAACGGCCCACCAAAGCGACGAUCGAUAGCCGAUUUGAGAGAAUGACCGGCCACAUUGGGACUGAGACACGGCCCAAACUCC